Molecule: non-coding RNA, 929 nt
Organism: Arachis ipaensis
Lineage: Eukaryota; Viridiplantae; Streptophyta; Magnoliopsida; Fabales; Fabaceae
Source: RefSeq, a predicted model, not a curated record
UGGAGGCUCUCCUCCAGUGUGGCUUCUUCUCUCCAGGGGUGCAUGUGCUCCUCUGUCAUUCCGCCGUCAGCUGUCUCUUUUACCGACUCGCUCACGCAAUCUCUCUUCUUCAUGGAUUUGGUUGAACAGGUAAUCAUUACUUGGAACCCUAGGACCUUUGCCUUCUUUCUUUCCUCUGCCCUACCAAACGCUGUCUACAAGCUCUGUUUCUUGGGUGUUUGCUUCCCCGCCGUUCAUCCAGGUUAGCGAUUUCCCAAUGGAGUCUCAAAUUCAAGAUCUUCAAUAAAUCAAUCGGGUAUGGGGUUUCUACCUAAUCUACUUUCUCUUUGGUGAUGUGAUUGACAGAGUUUCUCCAGCAAAGGUGGUUUCGUUUUUAUUCUGGGAACUAUAUCAUCUAUUUUGAAGAAUCAUAAAUGGUGGUUCUCAACUUGUUUAUGUGGUUCUCUUGUGUCAGCUAAUAAAAAUAUUUUAUCCUGUGAUCUAUGUCAACUUCAAUGCAUUGAUGCUGUCCCAAGGUGUUCCCGUCUUUAAUUUUAUUCUGUUUUGGUAGCUAAUUAUGAUUUCAAUGUUUACUAAAAUUUUUCUUGUUUUCUCAUGAUUUUCAAGAUUCCGCUUAAAGAUUGUAGUGCCUCAUACAAAUAGCAACAAUAUAUUUGUUCUUAAAGAUCGUGAGGUCGUGCAAAUAAUAAAGACAAGAUGCUCGAGCUUUUUGGAUAAUCACCCAUAGUUGAAUUAGGUUAUCAUGCAAUUGUGGUUUUAAUUAGUAUAUAGAUAUAGAUAUAGUUAGUUUGUAUCUUUUGACAUUCCUAAGGAAAACAUAAAUUAUUAUUAUGCUAUUUGUUAACUAUUUUAGUUUUUUUUUAGGGAUCUUAUUGCAAAGUUGUUCCAUUAACUCAUUUUAAGUCUUUUGCACAAAAAGUUGUAUUCAU